GCCCAAAUCGUACACCACAGUUUCCCAAUGUGAAUUGAGUGAUGAGUAUGUGACACUGACAAAAAACGCGUACGGCGAGAGAGAAAUAUGAUGACUGCUUUUCUCCUGCUGUGUGUUGUUGGGGUGCUCUGCUCUGAUGCUGCGGCAGAGCAAAAUGGAUCCUGUGAGCCCAGGCCUGAGGUUGAAUGUUUUGUGCUAGAUGACUAUCUGAAUGCAUCCCGUCCUGUCAAAGUUGAGGCGUGCUCUGGUAAGAAAUUCAACAUCUCCCUGGAGAGCUUCAGUGGAUAUGCUGUCUGUUACCACAUCGGAGAAAAAGGCCAAAUGAC
Long non-coding RNA from Monopterus albus (swamp eel), 326 nucleotides. RefSeq lists it as uncharacterized. The transcript is spliced from 3 exons. NCBI's taxonomy places the organism in Eukaryota, Metazoa, Chordata, Actinopteri, Synbranchiformes, Synbranchidae. The record is from RefSeq and is a predicted model, not a curated record.